RNAcentral lists this ribosomal RNA (119 nucleotides) under Helianthus annuus (common sunflower). Lineage: Eukaryota; Viridiplantae; Streptophyta; Magnoliopsida; Asterales; Asteraceae. The record is from RNAcentral.
GGUUGCGAUCAUACCAGCACUAACGCACCGGAUCCCAUCAGAACUCCGCAGUUAAGCGUGCUUGGGCGACAGUAGUACUAGGAUGGGUGACCCCUGGGAAGUCCUCGUGUUGCAACCCC